UUGUUGGGUAGGGGAGCGUUCUGUAAGCCUGUGAAGGUGUGCUGUGAGGCAUGCUGGAGGUAUCAGAAGUGCGAAUGCUGACAUAAGUAACGAUAAAGCGGGUGAAAAGCCCGCUCGCCGGAAGACCAAGGGUUCCUGUCCAACGUUAAUCGGGGCAGGGUGAGUCGACCCCUAAGGCGAGGCCGAAAGGCGUAGUCGAUGGGAAACAGGUUAAUAUUCCUGUACUUGGUGUUACUGCGAAGGGGGGACGGAGAAGGCUAUGUUGGCCGGGCGACGGUUGUCCCGGUUUAAGCGUGUAGGCUGGUUUUCCAGGCAAAUCCGGAAAAUCAAGGCUGAGGCGUGAUGACGAGGCACUACGGUGCUGAAGCAACAAAUGCCCUGCUUCCAGGAAAAGCCUCUAAGCAUCAGGUAACAUCAAAUCGUACCCCAAACCGACACAGGUGGUCAGGUAGAGAAUACCAAGGCGCUUGAGAGAACUCGGGUGAAGGAACUAGGCAAAAUGGUGCCGUAACUUCGGGAGAA
This 522-nucleotide ribosomal RNA is filed under the name Escherichia coli. RNAcentral describes it as "partial 23S ribosomal RNA". It matches the Rfam family "Bacterial large subunit ribosomal RNA", at positions 1221 to 1744 of the family's 2925-position model. The record is from RNAcentral. Lineage: Bacteria; Pseudomonadati; Pseudomonadota; Gammaproteobacteria; Enterobacterales; Enterobacteriaceae.